RNAcentral lists this ribosomal RNA (397 nucleotides) under uncultured bacterium. Its description in RNAcentral is "bacterial SSU rRNA". It matches the Rfam family "Bacterial small subunit ribosomal RNA", at positions 9 to 407 of the family's 1533-position model. The record is from RNAcentral.
GAGUUUGAUCAUGGCUCAGAUUGAACGCUGGCGGCAGGCCUAACACAUGCAAGUCGAGCGGUAGAGAGAAGCUUGCUUCUCUUGAGAGCGGCGGACGGGUGAGUAAUGCCUAGGAAUCUGCCUGGUAGUGGGGGAUAACGCUCGGAAACGGACGCUAAUACCGCAUACGUCCUACGGGAGAAAGCAGGGGACCUUCGGGCCUUGCGCUAUCAGAUGAGCCUAGGUCGGAUUAGCUAGUCGGUGAGGUAAUGGCUCACCAAGGCGACGAUCCGUAACUGGUCUGAGAGGAUGAUCAGUCACACUGGAACUGAGACACGGUCCAGACUCCUACGGGAGGCAGCAGUGGGGAAUAUUGGACAAUGGGACGAAAGCCUGAUCCAGCCAUGCCGCGUGUGUG